RNAcentral lists this unclassified non-coding RNA (89 nucleotides) under Pseudomonas gessardii. Lineage: Bacteria; Pseudomonadati; Pseudomonadota; Gammaproteobacteria; Pseudomonadales; Pseudomonadaceae. The record is from RNAcentral.
UGUGGGAGCGGGCUUGCUCGCGAUGGCGGAGUGUCAGUUGAUAAUUGUUUGACUGAUACACCGCCAUCGCGAGCAAGCCCGCUCCCACA